GGGAGUGUAGCUCAGUGGUAGAGAACCUGCUUGGCAUGCAUGGAGCUCUAGGUUCAAUCUCCAGCUCCACCA
This 72-nucleotide transfer RNA is filed under the name Heterocephalus glaber (naked mole-rat). It matches the Rfam family "tRNA". Rfam says of the family: Transfer RNA (tRNA) molecules are approximately 80 nucleotides in length. Their secondary structure includes four short double-helical elements and three loops (D, anti-codon, and T loops). Lineage: Eukaryota; Metazoa; Chordata; Mammalia; Rodentia; Bathyergidae. The record is from Rfam by way of RNAcentral.